AAGCAUACACAUUUUUAUAACCAAAUUAGGAAUAUUGAUUUUAAAAAUCUUCAAAUUUCCUUACAAUAUAUAGUAGGUGUCCCCAACCCCUGGGCCACAGACUGGUACCACGCUGCAGACUGGUAGCUUUCUGUGGCCUGUUAGGAAGUGGGCUGCACAGCAGGAGGUGAGUUGCAGUUUAACUAGCAUUACCGCCUGAGCUCCGCCUCCGGUCAGAUCAGCUGGGCAUUAGAUUCUCACAGGAGCAAGAAUCCUAUUGGGAACUGUGCGUGAGAGGCAUCUAGGUUGCACUCUCCUUAUCAGAAUCUAACUAAUGCCUGAUGAUCUGAGGUGAAAUAGUUUCAUCCCGAAACUACCCCCGACUCUGUCUGUGGAAAAACUAUCCCCACAAAACCUGGUGCCAAAAAGAUUGGGGACCACUGAUAUGUAGGGUUCCAAUUAUUUUGGAAGACAUGAAUUAAGAGACUGGUUGAAGUUCACUAGGCGUUCUUUGCUUCUAAGGCCUCUGUCCUCUAGGCUGUGUUGCAUACAUAAUAAUGCAAGACUGGAGGACACCAAUAGCAUCUGCAAAUGACAAGAUACCUUCAGAUGAAGCCUAAUUCCAAAAAGAUUAAAUAGUUAUCCACAUGUAGAUUAUAUAAACUUUUAGGAGGUUAAUUCUGUGGGUUGCUGGAUUCUGGCUCCCUUAUGCCCUGCAACCUUAUGGCUUCAUGCUAUAUAUGAACUUCUUACUAGGAAUAAUGGAUGACUUGACUGUUCUCUGCUUCCUGAACAACUUCUACCAUCAUGUUAAAUUGAAGCUUCUCAGUUAUGCCAAGUUAUUCAAUAUAUGAUGUCCUAUGUUCCUCAUCUUUGCACUGGAAAUAAUGCUGUCAACUCAGUGACUGAAUUCAAUCCCUGGAGUUCUAAGAGAAAUCUCACUCCAAGAAAAUGUAGAGAAGUAAUACCCUAAAUAUCUGUAGUUCACUGAUUCAGUUUAUCAUAAAGUAUCUGAAAUAUUUUAGCAUUUGUCCUACAAAGGCCCAGAUUUUGAGGUAACAAAGUACUUUCAUUAAUCCUUUUAAUAUUUCUCUUUGCCAGAAUGCUUGAUCAAAAGUAUUGAUUAUCUGGUGUCAGCUGUUUUCCUGAAUUCAUGCAGUACUGACAAAGAAGAAUUUGGAAUUAAAUACCAGAGAAGAGUUCUAUUCCACCUAGAGGGUACAGUUUUGUGACAAUAUUUUUGACAUUCUAAUUAGGUUAUCAGCCUAUGAUUGCAAAUAAAAAAUGAAACAAUAAUAAUAUUUAAAUACAAAGGUAUUUAAAGUAAUGAAAGCAAAAGUCUAAUGUACAUCUUUAGUUCUUUUUUCAUAGCUGAGUUAAUAAAUACUUUUUGUAUCAAGUUAAUUUGAUAUAAAAAGUAAUUCUUAUAUAUUACUAAUCAAGAUAAUAUGAAUUACAACAAAGCAUUACUUAGAAAUAUAAUAUUAAAAUGCAACAGCUUUAAAUCCUAUUGACCCAAUGGAUAUUACCUACAAGUCAGGCUCUGUACAAACCCAUUCAGAAUGCUCCAGCUGACAGUGCAGUAUUUUAUGCCAAUCAAAUUAUGUUAUUGUGAUAGAACAUGAUAUGGAUUUUUAAGAAAAAAAUGAUCCAAUACAAAACUGUUAUAUACUUGGCCCUCAUCCCCAUGAUCACAAAUCCCAGAAUUUCAAGAAAAUUUGGCCAACUGAAGUAAAUUGUAAAUUGUGUUUACACUGUCACAUAGGUGGCAUCACUAUAGCUAAGACACAAAGUAUUCUCUGUGUAUUGUCAAGAUUAUCCUGAAAUACCAUAAUUUUUAAAAGUUUUCAGGACAUAUCUAUUUAUCUAAUGUUAUAUAUAUUUAAAUAAAAUAUCUAUACUAUUUUAAUAUAUACCUUAAUUUUCUCUGCUAUGUGUUUAAUUCUGUCAUGUAAAAAAGAGACACGAAAAUUGUAACCCCCAGCACCUUAGAAUGUGAACUUAUUUGAAAAUGGAAUCAUCACAGAGGUAAUCUGGUUGAAAUGAGCUCAUUAGGAUAGACGGUAAUCCAAUAUGACUGGGCUACUUAUAGAAAAGAGAAAAUUUGGACACAGAUAGACACAUAGAGGGAAGAUGAUGAAGAUACACAGAGAGAAUGCCACUGAAGAUGGAGGUAGAGAUUGCAAUUAUGUUGCCACAAACCAAGGAACAUCUGGGAUUGCCAGAAGCAGGAAGAGGCAAAGAAGUAACCUUCUCUACAGGUGUUAGAGGGAGCAUGGCCCAUCAAUCCCUUGAUUUCACACUUCUAGCCUUUAGAACUAUGAAACAAAACUUUUCCCUUGUUCUAAGACAUCUAAUGUAUAAUACUUUGCUAUUGCAGCCAUAGGAAGCUAUACCUUCUUUCCUUCACUAUUAAAAAUUUUAUUGUUCUCUUUCAACUCCUUUGACAUCAUGUCUAUUCCUUUAUAACUAAAGUCAAUGAUUAAUUAAAGAAUAAUAUCUCUUUCUAAGUGUAAGGUUGUGUUCCAACUGUCUUACAUACAUUAAUUCAUUUAAUUCUUACAACAACCCUGUGAAGUAAAUACUAUUAUUUUGCUUUUUACA
This 2583-nucleotide long non-coding RNA is filed under the name Homo sapiens (human). RNAcentral's name for it is "long non-coding RNA NONHSAT155512.1". The record is from RNAcentral. Lineage: Eukaryota; Metazoa; Chordata; Mammalia; Primates; Hominidae.